GCCAGACUCCUACGGGAGGCAGCAGUGAGGAAUAUUGGUCAAUGGGCGAGAGCCUGAACCAGCCAAGUCGCGUGAAGGAUGACGGCCCUACGGGUUGUAAACUUCUUUUGUCAGGGAGCAAUUGGGUCCACGCGUGGGCUUAGCGAGAGUACCUGAAGAAAAAGCAUCGGCUAACUCCGUGCCAGCAGCCGGGGUAAUACGUAGGGGGCAAGCGUUAUCCGGAUUUACUGGGUGUAAAGGGAGCGUAGACGGUUAUGCAAGUCUGGAGUGAAAGGCGGGGGCUCAACCCCCGGACUGCUCUGGAAACUGUAGAACUAGAGUGCAGGAGGGGUAAGUGGAAUUCCUAGUGUAGCGGUGAAAUGCGUAGAUAUUAGGAGGAACACCAGUGGCGAAGGCGGCUUACUGGACUGUAACUGACGUUGAGGCUCGAAAGCGUGGGGAGCAAACAGGAUUAGAUACCCGAGUA
RNAcentral lists this ribosomal RNA (466 nucleotides) under uncultured bacterium. RNAcentral describes it as "bacterial SSU rRNA". It matches the Rfam family "Bacterial small subunit ribosomal RNA", at positions 330 to 792 of the family's 1533-position model. The record is from RNAcentral.